UAAACAAAUAAUCUUGUUUUUUAACACUAAUCUUUUCCUAAAAGAGAGUAGAUUAUCCAUCUUUGUAGAAAUUUUCAUUUAAUAUUAGAGAUUAUAGAUUAUCCUUCUUUUAUUUAACUUUUGAAUUUAUUUGAGUUGUCUAUAGAAAAAAGAAUUAUGGAUGCUACUCUCAGUAGAAGUAAGAAUAGAUCUACAGCUAUUAUAGAUCUUCAUAAACUUGUUAAUAUUUAAAGAGUUAAAAUUUCACAUAUUUCUAAUGCGAAUUAUAGAAGUACUAUUCCUAUGCCUGUAGAAGAAAUUUAGAAUCUGUGAUAAGAAGUUGUGUAAUUGAAAGAAACAAGUAGAUCAACUUAACAAC
This 358-nucleotide long non-coding RNA is filed under the name Physcomitrium patens. RNAcentral describes it as "long non-coding RNA (PPAT_LNC008912)". The record is from RNAcentral. Lineage: Eukaryota; Viridiplantae; Streptophyta; Bryopsida; Funariales; Funariaceae.